AGAGUUUGAUCCUGGCUCAGAACGAACGCUGGCGGCGUGCCUAACACAUGCAAGUCGAACGGAUUUGAGAAGCUUGCUUCUCAAGUUAGUGGCGCACGGGUGAGUAACGCGUAGAUAAUCUGCCUGAUGAUCUGGGAUAACACUUCGAAAGGGGUGCUAAUACCGGAUAAGCCCACGGAGUCUUUGGACUUUGCGGGAAAAGGGGGGGACCUUCGGGCCUUCUGUCAUCAGAUGACUCUGCGUACCAUUAGCUAGUUGGUAGGGUAAAGGCCUACCAAGGCUACGAUGGUUAGCUGGUCUGAGAGGAUGAUCAGCCACACUGGAACCGACACCCGGUCCAAACUCCUACGGGAGGCACCAAUGGGGAAUUUUGCGCAAUGGGCGAAAGCCUGACGCAGAACGCCGCGUGAGUGAUGAAUGCUUUCGGGUCGUAAAGCUCUGUCUAGGGGAAAGAAGUGUAUUGUGGCUAAUAUCCAUGAUACUUGACGGUACUCCCUAUGGAAGCACCGGCUAACUCAGCGCCAGCAGCC
Molecule: ribosomal RNA, 530 nt
Filed under: uncultured Geopsychrobacter sp.
Lineage: Bacteria; Pseudomonadati; Thermodesulfobacteriota; Desulfuromonadia; Desulfuromonadales; Geopsychrobacteraceae
Description: bacterial SSU rRNA
Rfam family: Bacterial small subunit ribosomal RNA
Source: RNAcentral